AGCCACAGCCAUAUCACCCUGCAGCCCAAGACUGGUUGCCCACUGAAGCUAAGCAGGGUUGAGCCUGGUCAGUACCUGGAUGGGAGACCUCCUGGGAAAACUAAGUUGCUGUUGGAA
This 117-nucleotide ribosomal RNA is filed under the name Sinocyclocheilus rhinocerous. Lineage: Eukaryota; Metazoa; Chordata; Actinopteri; Cypriniformes; Cyprinidae. The record is from RNAcentral.